UACGGAGGGUGCAAACGUUGCUCGGAUUUAUUGGGCGUAAAGCGCGCGUAGGCGGCCGUGCAGGUCGGGUGUGAAAUCCCGGGGCUCAACCCCGGAACUGCGCUCGAAACCGUGCGGCUUGAGUCACGGAGGGAGAGGGAGAAUUCCUGGUGUAGGGGUGAAAUCCGUAGAUAUCAGGAGGAAUACCGGUGGCGAAGGCGCCCUCUUGGACGAUGACUGACGCUGAGGUGCGAAAGCGUGGGUAGCAAACAGGAUUAGAUACCCUGGUAGUCCACGCUGUAAACGAUGCUCACUGGGUGGCGGGGGAAUCAACCCCUUCGCUGCCGAAGCUAACGCGAUAAGUGAGCCGCCUGGGGAGUACGGUCGCAAGAUUAAA
Molecule: ribosomal RNA, 376 nt
Filed under: uncultured bacterium
Lineage: Bacteria
Description: bacterial SSU rRNA
Rfam family: Bacterial small subunit ribosomal RNA
Source: RNAcentral